Molecule: ribosomal RNA, 279 nt
Filed under: uncultured Staphylococcus sp.
Lineage: Bacteria; Bacillati; Bacillota; Bacilli; Caryophanales; Staphylococcaceae
Description: partial 16S ribosomal RNA
Rfam family: Bacterial small subunit ribosomal RNA
Source: RNAcentral
CCUUUGACGUUAGCGGCGGACGGGUGAGUAACACGUGGGUAACCUACCUAUAAGACUGGGAUAACUUAGGGAAACCGGAGCUAAUACCGGAUAAUAUUUCGAACCGCAUGGUUCGAUAGUGAAAGGUGGUUUUGCUAUCACUUAUAGAUGGACCCGCGCCGUAUUAGCUAGUUGGUAAGGUAACGGCUUACCAAGGCGACGAUACGUAGCCGACCUGAGAGGGUGAUCGGCCACACUGGAACUGAGACACGGUCCAGACUCCUACGGGAGGCAGCAGCG